GGCUCUGUCCUCCUGGACACGCCGAGAGCCUGAUCCCGGGUCCUACUGCUGGAGGCGGCCACUUCGCCUGGUCCCCGAGUGUC
This is an unclassified non-coding RNA of Cercocebus atys (sooty mangabey), 83 nucleotides long. NCBI's taxonomy places the organism in Eukaryota, Metazoa, Chordata, Mammalia, Primates, Cercopithecidae. The record is from Ensembl.